GACAGAGGCCUCGAGCGUUAGGCGGAAUCACUGGGCUUAAAGCGUGUGUAGGCGGACGCCUAAGUACCUUGUGAAAUCCCACGGCUCACCCGUGGAACCGCUGGGUAUACUGGGUGUCUUGGGCCAUUCAGGGGCGACUGGAACAAGCGGUGGAGCGGUGAAAUGCGUAGAUAUCGCUUGGAACGCCGACGGUGAAAACAGGUCGCUGGGAAUGUGCCGACGCUGAGACACGAAAGCCAGGGGAGCAAACGGG
RNAcentral lists this ribosomal RNA (253 nucleotides) under uncultured bacterium. Its description in RNAcentral is "partial 16S ribosomal RNA". It matches the Rfam family "Bacterial small subunit ribosomal RNA", at positions 524 to 776 of the family's 1533-position model. The record is from RNAcentral.